GGGGUUUGUUUGUUCCGCUAAGCCCUGCAUUAUUCAAGGGUCAACUGUAGCAGGAACUGCUGUUCCCAUUGCAUAAUAGGAAUUAUUAAUGUCCCAUAUUACAGAGGAGGGAAGGAGGGUGAGAGUGGCUAAAUCACUUGCCCAGGUUCUCGCCUAUUCAGAAGUAGAACCAGGAUCUCCCAAGUUCCAGUGGGAGAUCUCGUCACCGAUGAAGCCCCUUUUGCACCGUGCAGGAAUAUACCUAGGCAGAGUGAAAAGCUCAAGAGUUUUGCUGUUAGACCUGGAUCAAAUUCCAGCUUUGCCAUAUCCCAAGGAGUCCUAGUUUUCCUGUCUUUAAAAUGGCAACAACAACAAAAUCUGUCUCACAAGUUUCUGGGAGGGGUGAAAUGAAAUGAACUAGGAUAGAAAGCCCUGGCAGGCAUGCAACAGAGACUUGGUCAGGUAACCUUGGUUCUUUCCCACAGUCUGGCUCUCCUUUUUGCCCCCUGGAUUGGCCACACCUGCUCUCACCUCUGAGCCCUUGCUCAUGCUGUUCUCUCUGGUUAUAAAUCCCUCCCUGUCUCCUCCUCUUAUCUCACUCAAAACCCAGCUGAGAUUUCAGCAUUUCCAUGCAGACUCCUCCCUUAUACCUGUUCUUCUUUCCGCACUUGGGACUCUGCCAGCACUUGGCAUUUAAUCAGCCACAGUGGAUUUAAGUGUUUCACUUGUGAGUGGCUUAUCUCCCACAUUACACUAGAUAUUCCUUGAGGGCACUGACCAGCCUCCUGCAUCCGUCCGUCAGCUUGGCCCAGCCACAGCUCUGUCUCUUCUUGGUGAGUGGCUCUGGGCACUUGCCCCUUCCCAUCACUGUGCCUAAUCCCUCUCCUGUACACGGUGGGGACCACUGGAGGAGCUCUGGAGACUCCCUCUUGUGAACAUUAGUGACUGCUUACUUACCAGGACUCCAAAAUGGUCCCCAGCUUGCUUCAGAGAGCUCACAGCCAAGAUGACAAGUGAGACCAUCAACCAUCAGUCCACUACCACCCUCAUAUCAUUGUUUUAUAUGUAUGAGAACCACCAUCAUCAUGGCAGUUACCUCCAAUUCAGCACCUUUUACAGAUCAUCACCAGGUGCCGGGGGAGACUGAGGCAGAAGAAUCGCUUGAACCCAGAAGGUGGAGGUUGCAGUGAGCAGAGAUCGCGCCACUGCCCUCCAACCAGGGUGACAGAGCGAGACUCCGUCUCAAAAAAAAGAAAAAAAGAAAAGAAAGAAAGAAAAGAAAAGAGACAAAAUGGCAGAGUCUGACCUUCGGACCUUCGGGGCACUCUGCUGGAAAAGCGAUGAUGGGCAUGUGCACCACUUCCUAAACACAUUGCGCAUGCUCACCUCCGGAGGCUUCUCACUCAGCUGCCAUGCAUUGACUUCCCUGUUGAUCCAGCCUACUGCGGACCCAAAUAUUCCUGUUGCCAGAUAGGAGGGAUGAGUAAUGGAGACUCCAGUCCUCAGAGACCUUGAUCAAGUAAAGCAAAAACCCCUUCCUCCACUUUCUUUGCAAGUGGCUAAACCCUUAGUCACUCUGGGAAGAAAAGUAAACUGAAAACUUGAAAAAGUCCCAAGACAGAAUCUAACUCCAUCCCCUGCCCCAGAUAAAAAGCAAGAUAGCACAACUAUAGCAACCUUUUAAGUCAAAUUAAAUGAGCUAAUAAAAAUCAGGCCUGUUCAAGUGCCCAAUUGAUUUAAACAUGAAGAUUGUCAGUUUCCAGCAUCACUGAUUCUAAUCCAACAACCCUCACCAUAGAGGUCUUCAUUCAGCCUGCUGUGUUUGGAGGUUUUGCUUAUUGGGUGUGUAUCUGUAAGGUAAAUCUUGACGAUUUCCUUACUACAGACAAUUAUCUGGCUGGAGAUGUC
Molecule: long non-coding RNA, 1887 nt
Filed under: Homo sapiens (human)
Lineage: Eukaryota; Metazoa; Chordata; Mammalia; Primates; Hominidae
Description: HSALNT0069571
Source: RNAcentral